CGGGGUGUAGUGUAAUGGUAGCACGAGUCGUUCGGGACGAUUUAGCCGGAGUUCGACCCUCCGCACCCCGA
RNAcentral lists this transfer RNA (71 nucleotides) under bacterium. RNAcentral describes it as "tRNA-Pro". It matches the Rfam family "tRNA". Rfam says of the family: Transfer RNA (tRNA) molecules are approximately 80 nucleotides in length. The record is from RNAcentral.